This 1204-nucleotide ribosomal RNA is filed under the name uncultured Apusozoa. RNAcentral's name for it is "SSU rRNA". It matches the Rfam family "Eukaryotic small subunit ribosomal RNA", at positions 1 to 1148 of the family's 1831-position model. The record is from RNAcentral.
ACCUGGUUGAUCCUGCCAGUGGUCAUAUGCUUGUCUCUAGGAUUAAGCCAUGCACGUAUAAGUGUAAGCGAUUUACAGUGAAACUGCGAAUGGCUCAUUAAAUCAGUUUAAUUAGUCUCUGUUGAUGGGAAGCCGCUACAUGGAUAACCGUAGAAAAUGUAGAGCUAAUACGUGCCGAGAGAGUCGUGGCCUAGCAUUUUUGCUGGGAGCGUGCGGGUAUUUAUUAGAAUUCCAAGACGAUGGCGCACUUGUGUGUCGUUGUUUGAGUUGAGUCAUGGUAACUGUACGAAUGGAUUGCGGGUUGUGCUUGCAAGCGUGCGAUGGUAUCGAUUGGAAUUUCUGCCCUAUCACCUUUCGAUGGUAGGAUAGAGGCUUACCGUGGUGGAUUACGGGUGACGGGGGAUUGGGGUUUUAUUCCGGAGAGGGCGCCUGAGAGAUGGCGACCACUUCCAAGGAAGGCAGCAGGCGCGCAAAUUACCCAAUGGCGACAUGCCGAGGUAGUGAAGAACAAUAACGAUGGGCGGGUCUUUGAACUUGCCCCAAUUGGAAUGAGUUUAAAUUACAACCCUAUUCGAGGAGCAACUGGAGGGCAAGUCUGGUGCCAGCAGCCGCGGUAAUUCCAGCUCCAGUAGUGUAUAUCAAAGUUGUUGCGGUUAAAAAGCUCGUAGUUGGAUUUCCCGGGGCUUAAGUUGCGGCUGGGAUCAGUGGUCAUUUGACACUGGGGCGGGCGUGUAGACUGUAUUCGCGCGUGGACGGUCUGCGGUUAGUUCUCUGUGCUCGGGCGCAUGUACUUUGAACAAAUUAGAGUGUCUCAAGACAGGCGAUUUCUUAUUGCCUGUGAAUAGAUUAGCAUGGAAUAACGGGUAUAAACUCUCUGUCUCGAGCAGGCAUGAUGUUGUUUGAUGACGGAGGGGAAUGAUGGAUAGGGACAGGUGUGGGCAUUGAGAUUGUUACGUCAGAGGUGAAAUUCUUAGAUCGUAGGAAGAUUAGCAGACGCGAAAGCAUUUGUCAAGGAUGUUUUCAUUGAUCAAGAACGAAAGUUGGGGGAUCGAAGACGAUUAGAUACCGUCGUAGUCUCAACCAUAAACGAUGCCGCUAGGGAUUGGAGGGGGCAGUAGACUUUCUCACGACUUCCCCAGCACCUUAUGAGAAAUCUGAGUGUUUGGGUUCCGGGGGGAGUAUGGUCGCAAGGCUGAAACUUAAA